RNAcentral lists this ribosomal RNA (253 nucleotides) under uncultured bacterium. RNAcentral describes it as "partial 16S ribosomal RNA". It matches the Rfam family "Bacterial small subunit ribosomal RNA", at positions 524 to 776 of the family's 1533-position model. The record is from RNAcentral.
UACGAAGGGGGCAAGCGUUGUUCGGAAUUACUGGGCGUAAAGGGCGCGUAGGCGGUGCUCUAAGUCAGGCGUGAAAGCCCUGGGCUCAACCCGGGAAUUGCGCUUGAUACUGGGGCGCUUGAAUCCAGGAGAGGUUGGUGGAAUUCCCAGUGUAGAGGUGAAAUUCGUAGAUAUUGGGAAGAACACCGGUGGCGAAGGCGACUCACUGGCCCAUUACUGACGCUGAGGCGCGAAAGCGUGGGGAGCAAACAGG